Long non-coding RNA from Poecile atricapillus (Black-capped chickadee), 1460 nucleotides. RefSeq lists it as uncharacterized. Lineage: Eukaryota; Metazoa; Chordata; Aves; Passeriformes; Paridae. The record is from RefSeq and is a predicted model, not a curated record. The transcript has 3 exons.
UCCACAAAUCAACCAUCAGAACUUUUUACUAUUUAUACAUCUUAGCAAACAAAGGAAUUUUUACAUAUUCCACACUUUGCAACAACACGGUUCUCUUCUUUAAAGCUUCCCGGUUUGUCUCUCCCCUCGCUGGGUUGGUGUCGGGCGGCCGAAGCCCCUCUCGCCGCCCCGGUGCCUUUCCUUUCCCCGGGGCGCUGCGGGCGGCCCCCGCAGCUCGCAAGGGUGAAUCGCUGCCAGCCUUUGGCAGUGCUGGCCGGUCCUAGAAAUCCGGCUGGCUGCUGGAGCGGCUGCCAGGAGCCUCCCUCGGGCCGUCAUGUGAGCAGUGUAAACAGCCCGGCCAGGCGAGUGGGCGGCUCGGCGCUCGCCAGUGGGGCAGAGUUCAGUGCCUGCGGCGGGGUUACUGCCGAGCGCCGGCGUUGCCAUAGCGAGCAUUGCAUAACGCUGGCAGCGGCCACCGAGGGCCCCGCGUUCCUUCUGCUCGCUCUUCUGUCAGGACAGUGAGACCUCCUGCCCCUGACUGGAAGUCUGUCCUUGAACCAGUGGUGCCAGGACUUGUGUGAGCUGGACACAGCUUCUUGAUGAAUGGCUUAACACACCCUGUCUCAAGCUCUGCCCCACUGAGCCCUUUUCUUCAAAGCAUUUUACAAAACAAAAUAAACUAAGGGAGGAGUGAAGUCCUGUGGUCUGCUCCUCAGAGAGUCCUGGUUUUGCUGAGUUCCUCAGUUCCAAAUGGACAGAACUGUUGACCAUAUUCAUAAUUUUGGAGUUUUAUGCAGUAUUGUGUAUAUUUUGGGCUAGACCUUCAAGUCAAGACCAAGAUAUUGAACUUGAUUCAAUACCCCAUGGGAAGACAGUACAAGGAGUAAAGGGUUCCCUGUACCCAGGAUUGCUGAGACACGUCUUAGAUUUCCAUCCAGAAAUCAGAGAAUGAAGAGAACACUUUUCUUAGAAGGAUCCCAAACUUCUUUACGUAGGGGUAAACGUAUAAUUAUUUCCAUUUCACCGGUGUGAACACCAGAAGAUAAAAAUGCUGUGACUAAAUAUCAAUUGAGAAAUAAUUGAGUUGAAUUUUGUUUCCUGUCUUACACAGCAGGGCCUGAUGCCUUCUCCAAACUAUUUUUUUAAAGUUACUUUUUAAAAUUAGCUUUAGCCAUCAUAGCUUCUAUGUAUUUCUGGUCUUGAAAGGAACCAUCAAUUGUUUUUGUUUGAAGACAUUGAAUAUGAACUUGUUCCUACAGAGCUUUGUGCUGUAAUUUAUCAACAAGGAGCUGAGGCACAGACGUCAAAUGAAUACCAGAUUUCAAAUUAUGAUAAGCAAUUGUGUCAUCCCUGUGAAUAGACAUCAGUCUCUGCUGAGAAAUCAUCAAUAAUUCAUUUUAAAAAAUAAAUGAGUACAGGGCCAUUUGGAUAGGUCUUUGCAAACAGCCAGUCCUGUGUUCUGUCAUAAUUCCUGUGAAUUU